This 286-nucleotide ribosomal RNA is filed under the name uncultured Pseudomonas sp. RNAcentral describes it as "partial 16S ribosomal RNA". It matches the Rfam family "Bacterial small subunit ribosomal RNA", at positions 1096 to 1382 of the family's 1533-position model. Lineage: Bacteria; Pseudomonadati; Pseudomonadota; Gammaproteobacteria; Pseudomonadales; Pseudomonadaceae. The record is from RNAcentral.
GCGACAACCUUGUCCUUAGUUACCAGCACGUUAUGGUGGGCACUCUAAGGAGACUGCCGGUGACAACCGGAGGAAGGUCGGGAUGACGUCAAGUCAUCAUGGCCCUUACGGCCUGGGCUACACACGUGCUACAAUGGUCGGUACAAAGGGUUGCCAAGCCGCGAGGUGGAGCUAAUCCCAUAAAACCGAUCGUAGUCCGGAUCGCAGUCUGCAACUCGACUGCGUGAAGUCGGAAUCGCUAGUAAUCGUGAAUCAGAAUGUCACGGUGAAUACGUUCCCGGGCCUU